This 253-nucleotide ribosomal RNA is filed under the name uncultured bacterium. Its description in RNAcentral is "partial 16S ribosomal RNA". It matches the Rfam family "Bacterial small subunit ribosomal RNA", at positions 524 to 776 of the family's 1533-position model. The record is from RNAcentral.
UACGGAGGGUGCGAGCGUUGUCCGGAAUCACUGGGCGUAAAGGGCGCGUAGGCGGCCUGAUAAGUCGGGGGUGAAAUCCUGCGGCUUAACCGCAGGGCUGCCUUCUAAACUGUCAGGCUCGAGCACAGUAGAGGCAGGUGGAAUUCCCGGUGUAGCGGUGGAAUGCGUAGAGAUCGGGAAGAACAUCGGUGGCGAAGGCGGCCUGCUGGGCUGUUGCUGACGCUGAGGCGCGACAGCGUGGGGAGCAAACAGG